Molecule: ribosomal RNA, 236 nt
Filed under: uncultured bacterium
Lineage: Bacteria
Description: partial 16S ribosomal RNA
Rfam family: Bacterial small subunit ribosomal RNA
Source: RNAcentral
UACGUAGGGUGCAAGCGUUGUCCGGAAUUAUUGGGCGUAAAGAGCUCGUAGGCGGUCUGUCGCGUCGGCUGUGAAAACUCGGGGCUCAACCCCGAGCCUGCAGUCGAUACGGGCAGACUAGAGUGGCUGUAGGGGAGACUGGAAUUCCUGGUGUAGCGGUGAAAUGCGCAGAUAUCAGGAGGAACACCGGUGGCGAAGGCGGGUCUCUGGGCCGAAACUGACGCUGGAGGAGCGAA